This 264-nucleotide ribosomal RNA is filed under the name uncultured bacterium. RNAcentral describes it as "partial 16S ribosomal RNA". It matches the Rfam family "Bacterial small subunit ribosomal RNA", at positions 90 to 354 of the family's 1533-position model. The record is from RNAcentral.
UUCGAGUGGCGGACGGGUGAGUAACGCGUGGGUAACCUGCCUUACACAGGGGGAUAACACCUGGAAACAGGUGCUAAUACUGCAUAAGCGCACAGGGCCGCAUGGCCCGGUGUGAAAAACUCCGGUGGUGUAAGAUGGACCCGCGUCUGAUUAGCUUGUUGGCGGGGUAGGGGCCCACCAAGGCGACGAUCAGUAGCCGGCCUGAGAGGGUGGACGGCCACAUUGGGACUGAGACACGGCCCAAACUCCUACGGAAGGCAGCAG